This 254-nucleotide ribosomal RNA is filed under the name uncultured bacterium. Its description in RNAcentral is "partial small subunit ribosomal RNA". It matches the Rfam family "Bacterial small subunit ribosomal RNA", at positions 26 to 285 of the family's 1533-position model. The record is from RNAcentral.
AGGACGAACGCUGGCGGCGUGCUUAACACAUGCAAGUCGAACGGUAAGGCCUUUCGGGGUACACGAGUGGCGAACGGGUGAGUAACACGUGGGUGAUCUGCCCUGCACUUUGGGAUAAGCCUGGGAAACUGGGUCUAAUACCGAAUAUGACCAUGGGAUGCAUGUCUUGUGGUGGAAAGCUUUUGCGGUGUGGGAUGGGCCCGCGGCCUAUCAGCUUGUUGGUGGGGUUACGCCUACCAAGGCGACGACGGGUA